AGCGAACGCUGGCAGCAGGCCUAACACAUGCAAGUCGAACGGAUCCUUCGGGAUUAGUGGCGGACGGGUGAGUAACACGUGGGAACGUGCCCUUUGGUUCGGAACAACUCAGGGAAACUUGAGCUAAUACCGGAUGUGCCCUUCGGGGGAAAGAUUUAUCGCCAUUGGAGCGGCCCGCGUCUGAUUAGCUAGUUGGUGAGGUAACGGCCCACCAAGGCGACGAUCAGUAGCUGGUCUGAGAGGAUGAUCAGCCACACUGGGACUGAGACACGGCCCAGACUCCUACGGGAGGCAGCAGUGGGGAAUCUUGCGCAAUGGGCGAAAGCCUGACGCAGCCAUGCCGCGUGAAUGAUGAAGGUCUUAGGAUUGUAAAAUUCUUUCAGCGGGGACGAUAAUGACGGUACCCGCAGAAGAAGCUCCGGCUAACUUCGUG
This 433-nucleotide ribosomal RNA is filed under the name uncultured bacterium. Its description in RNAcentral is "partial 16S ribosomal RNA". It matches the Rfam family "Bacterial small subunit ribosomal RNA", at positions 29 to 507 of the family's 1533-position model. The record is from RNAcentral.